This 933-nucleotide long non-coding RNA is filed under the name Equus caballus (horse). RNAcentral's name for it is "lncRNA (ENSECAG00000053382.1)". The record is from RNAcentral. Lineage: Eukaryota; Metazoa; Chordata; Mammalia; Perissodactyla; Equidae.
GUGACUUCCACUUGCCGGAAAGACCCGGGCUGGCUAGCGUUUUUAAGGCGCGGAGUGGGUUUUGUUUGUGAAUGACUGCUUCGGUCGGCGGAGACGGACCUGUGAAACGAAGUGAGCUUCAAGCUACAUUCCUCAGGCUUGAGCCGGAGACCUGAGAGUGAAAAAUGUAGGAGUGAAGGAAAAAGAAACCUGAGAUAGUUUCUCAGGCUUUCCUCUGCCGGCUCGCCGGUUGCCUUCCCCUCCGCAGUCAGUAACUAACCCGUUAGACCUCGGCUGGAGCGUUAAUUCCUAAAAGCAUAUCCUGGCGCUCAGCUUACUUUUUCAUCACCCGGUGGGACUGAAAUGCAGAUUCUCUCCGCUGACUGAGGAUUGAUCCUGCUUCCUGGGCAAAGUCUUCUAGUCUAGCAUUAAGGAGACGAGAUGACUCCAUCCAGUCUGAACAUCCAGCUCCCAAGACUACCCUCCACUCAUCCAUCACACGAUUUACAUUUGUCCUUUGGAUAACCAUGUUAACCUUCUACGUUCCAUUCAUAUUCUGAUAUCUCUUUGUCCUCUUAUGUGCCGUGGUGUAAUUAUAUGCCUUAUAUUAAUAAUUGCUUUUAACUUUUUUCUUUUUGCAGUACAGUAGCUAUACAUACAGUGGCAGCACAUCACUAUGCAAAUGAUCAUGAUGAUGAUUUCUAAUAGCCAGCUUUGUUGAGGACUUAUUUGCAGUGUGUCAGGCAUUGUGCUAAAUACUAAUGUGUAAGGUAGAUAUCCCACCUUCACAAAUGAAGAUAUCAAGGCUUAUGGACAUAAAGUAAUUUUCCUAAGUCACAUAGUCAACUAGUGGCAGAGCUGGAACUUAAAAGUAAGUCUGUCUGGCCCAGAGUAUUCUUAACUACUGUGUGGCUAACCUGCAGAUACAGUGUUGAUGAUGAGUUCUAAUUUCCC